This 501-nucleotide ribosomal RNA is filed under the name uncultured bacterium. Its description in RNAcentral is "bacterial SSU rRNA". It matches the Rfam family "Bacterial small subunit ribosomal RNA", at positions 28 to 524 of the family's 1533-position model. The record is from RNAcentral.
GAUGAACGCUAGCGGCAGGCUUAAUACAUGCAAGUCGAGGGGCAGCGCGGGUAGCAAUACCUGGCGGCGACCGGCAAACGGGUGCGGAACACGUACGCAACCUUCCCAAAACUGGGGAAUAGCCCUCCGAAAGGAGGAUUAAUACCCCGUAACAUAACGAAGUGGCAUCACUUUGUUAUUAUAGUUCCGACGGUUUUGGAUGGGCGUGCGCCUGAUUAGGUAGUUGGCGGGGUAACGGCCCACCAAGCCUGCGAUCAGUAACUGGUGUGAGAGCACGACCAGUCACACGGGCACUGAGACACGGGCCCGACUCCUACGGGAGGCAGCAGUAAGGAAUAUUGGUCAAUGGACGCAAGUCUGAACCAGCCAUGCCGCGUGAAGGAUGAAGGUCCUCUGGAUUGUAAACUUCUUUUAUAUGGGACGAAAAAAGGGCAUUCUUGCUCACUUGACGGUACCAUAGGAAUAAGCACCGGCUAACUCCGUGCCAGCAGCCGCGGUAAU